RNAcentral lists this ribosomal RNA (433 nucleotides) under uncultured bacterium. RNAcentral describes it as "partial 16S ribosomal RNA". It matches the Rfam family "Bacterial small subunit ribosomal RNA", at positions 29 to 507 of the family's 1533-position model. The record is from RNAcentral.
AACGAACGCUGGCGGCAUGCCUAACACAUGCAAGUCGAACGAGACCUUCGGGACUAGUGGCGCACGGGUGCGUAACGCGUGGGAACCUGCCCUUAGGUUCGGAAUAACUCCCCGAAAGGGGUGCUAAUAUCGGAAAAUGUCCUCGGACCAAAGAUUUAUCGUCUUUGGAUGGGCCGGCGAUGUUUUAGCUAGUUGGUAGGGUAAAAGCCUACCAAGGCGACGAUCCAUAGCUGGUCUGAGAGGCUGAUCAGCCACACUGGGACUGAGACACGGCGCAGACUCCUGCGGGAGGCAGCAGUGGGGAAUAUUGGACAAUGGGCGAAGGCCUGAUCCAGCAAUGCCGCGUGAGUGAUGAAGGCCUUAGAGUUGUAAAGCUCUUUUACCCGGGAUGAUAAUGACAGUACCGGGAGAAUAAGCUCCGGCUAACUCCGUG